RNAcentral lists this transfer RNA (68 nucleotides) under Adicella ragma. Its description in RNAcentral is "tRNA-Cys". The record is from RNAcentral. Lineage: Eukaryota; Metazoa; Arthropoda; Insecta; Trichoptera; Leptoceridae.
AGUUUUAUAUUCAAUACUUAAAUGAUUUUAAAUUGCAAAUUUAAAGUAGUAAAAUUUUACUAAAACUU